GAAGCCUGCUGUCUGCUCUGUUGGGUGAAGGGUGACCAGGUGUAGAUUUCAGGGAAAGGAGCAGGUUUUAGAAAGAAGGAUGAUGAGUCCCAUUUUGUAGAAAAUGUUGAGGUGCUUAUGAGAUGUCUAUUAGAGAAUUUGCUGUAUGAGUCAGAGGCUCAGGCAAAUUGGCUGACUGAAGCCAAUUUGAUUUUAAUAUCCCUUUAUAACAGUGGUUGACUAAACCUAGCUCACUGCCUGUUUUUAUAAAGUUUUAUUUAUACACAGCCAUAUGCAUUCAUUUACAAUUAAUUUUGGGAACUGCUUUAGCAGAGAAAACAAUGGAGUCAGCUUGUGUUGCAGGAAAAGGGAAAGGAAAGCAAGAGAGAAUAAGGGCUCCACUCUAUGGAAACACCAACAUUUAUGAGGCUGGACUUGGCUGGAACAAGAAUAAGACUCCUGAUGCUCGAACGGGAACCAGGAGGAAGAGUGCUAUUUAGUGUCCCCAAGGCCAAGGUUGUAUCUGUUUGCUCGGGAUGCCAUAACAAAGGACCACAGACUGGGGGGUUUAAACAGCAGAAGUUUACUUUCUCACAGUACUGGAGGCUGGAAGUCUGAGGUCAAGGUGCUGGCGGUGUCGGUUUCUCCUGAGCCCUCUCUCUUUUGCCGUCCCAAUUGUGGGAAAUGAAGUUUUACAGCCAUGGAAGGGAAGAUGAAGGGAAGAAGCGGAGAAGACAGAUUUCUAUAGAUCACAAGGCAUUUUGGAUGCCAUAAAUAUGGUGGAUACCCUGUAGUUCUGCAGUGUCUUUCUUUAGGGAAUCUCAAGUGCCUACUCUCUAAUUUAGUCCGCUGUGUGGCUGUGGUCUUUAAGUUGGAGUCUGUGGAGACAAAGAGGGAGGUCUUGCUGUGCCUGACCCUCUGGGAUGUGUUACCACCCACGCCGACCUGCUCUCUGCGGCUUUCUGACAGCACCUCACAGCCCUGGAACUGGAAAUGUGGCUCUCACUGAAGCUGCCCAGAGAGAGGGUCUCUCAGUGAAGACCCCCUGUUGUCAGCUGGGGCAGCCGGAAAGAAAGACUGGGAAUUCUCUUCACACAGGAUUUGAUAUGCUUGGUGGCUCCAGAAAAAUGCAAGUGUGCACAUUCAUCCACUUGACAAAGGGUGACUUAACUGUCAGUGUCCUGUGGAUUCAAACUGAAAGGGUUUGGGCGAAAGAAAGAAGAAGGUGGGACUGCGAAUAAAUUGAAAACAGCAUUUUGGAGGCAACAGCUGUGAAACAGAAGGGAAGGAAAAUUUAUGACCAUAUACAUUUCAGUAGGAAUUUAUAACUUUUUAUGAACAUUAUCUUAAAGUUAGUCUCUAGACAUAGGUCUAAAAAUAAAAUUAUGCUGAACUGUGUACCCAGAGAAUGGUAAAUGGGAAUAACGUUCUUGAAAGGGAUGACGUAGGUCCAGGGAAAGGUCACAUUGAAUAAUCAAGGUCGGUGAAGGUCAAAAUCACAAAGAAGGACCCUGCAUUCACUCCUGUCCUGAUGGCAGCUUCAGUGGAAACCCUUGGCCAUCGCUUUGCCUCUCCAAGCAUUCGAGAAAGACCGUCUGGUGCCAUAUUGUCUUCUGGGGACAGCUGAUCACCUGGGGAGAGCUGCAUCGUGCUCCUACCCGUGUCAGAUCUGGGCAGAGGACAGACAAAAGUCCUCUGGAGUUUUCCGCAGUGAGAGUCACAGAAGUUCAUCUAAGGAAUUGGAGCCAAGGUUAGAAACUUCUCUGGAGAUGUUCUAGUUUUGUUUGCUAGCUCGGCAGCUGCGUAAUGACACUCCCUCCAGCAGGGCACAUAGUUCACUUCAAAUGACAAAUGGUGGGACCUUAGUAUUUUUCACUGUCGGUUAAUUAUCAGAAAUAGAUUUGUUGCUAUCUAGAUACCAGCCAUUUGUCCAAAUUACUAGGAUAAGAUUCCCAAGAAAGCCUGAAAUCAGAUAGCUUUCUCCUCCUUAUUUUAAAAUAAACAGAAAUAAAAUUA
Long non-coding RNA from Homo sapiens (human), 1995 nucleotides. The record is from Ensembl. NCBI's taxonomy places the organism in Eukaryota, Metazoa, Chordata, Mammalia, Primates, Hominidae.